CGGUAAACAAAGGGAAGCGAGCCUGUGAAGGGGAGCAAAUCCCAAAAAUAACGUCCCAGUUCGGAUUGUAGUCUGCAACCCGACUACAUGAAGCUGGAAUCGCUAGUAAUCGCGGAUCAGAAUGCCGCGGUGAAUACGUUCCCGGGUCUUGUACACACCGCCCGUCACACCAUGGGAGUCGGAAAUGCCCGAAGUCUGUGACCUAACCGUAAGGAAGGAGCAGCCGAAGGCAGGUCGGAUGACUGGGGUGAAGUCGUAACAAGGUAGC
This 268-nucleotide ribosomal RNA is filed under the name uncultured bacterium. RNAcentral's name for it is "partial 16S ribosomal RNA". It matches the Rfam family "Bacterial small subunit ribosomal RNA", at positions 1234 to 1500 of the family's 1533-position model. The record is from RNAcentral.